AUUGAACGCUGGCGGCAGGCCUAACACAUGCAAGUCGAGCGGAUGAGAGGAGCUUGCUCCUCGAUUCAGCGGCGGACGGGUGAGUAAUGCCUAGGAAUCUGCCUAGUAGUGGGGGACAACGUUUCGAAAGGAGCGCUAAUACCGCAUACGUCCUACGGGAGAGAGUGGGGGAUCUUCGGACCUCACGCUAUUGGAUGAGCCUAGGUCGGAUUAGCUAGUUGGUAGGGUAAAGGCCUACCAAGGCGACGAUCCGUAACUGGUCUGAGAGGAUGAUCAGUCACACUGGAACUGAGACACGGUCCAGACUCCUACGGGAGUCAGCAGUGGGGAAUAUUGGACAAUGGGCGCAAGCCUGAUCCAGCCAUGCCGCGUGUGUGAAGAAGGCCCUCGGGUCGUAAAGCACUUUAAGUUGGGAGGAAGGGCUUACAGCGAAUACCUGUGAGUUUUGACAUUAUCGACAGAAUAAGCACCGGCUAACUUCGUGCCAGCCGCCGCCGUAA
This 500-nucleotide ribosomal RNA is filed under the name uncultured bacterium. RNAcentral's name for it is "partial 16S ribosomal RNA". It matches the Rfam family "Bacterial small subunit ribosomal RNA", at positions 30 to 523 of the family's 1533-position model. The record is from RNAcentral.